Long non-coding RNA from Terrapene triunguis (Three-toed box turtle), 542 nucleotides. RefSeq lists it as uncharacterized. The transcript is spliced from 3 exons. The record is from RefSeq and is a predicted model, not a curated record. NCBI's taxonomy places the organism in Eukaryota, Metazoa, Chordata, Testudines, Emydidae.
CCUGGUUGUACCUACAAGCCCUGUUGUAGCCUGCGUUCCUACUGUCCACUAAACCUCCUGUUUUACUGGCUGGCUGAGAGUCCCGGUGAAUCGCAGGAAGAGGGGUGCAGGGCCCUGACUCCCCCACACUCCUGGCACACCCAUCGCGGGUGGGCCAGGCAGGGCGUGGGGGGUCAGGCUGCAUGGUGUGACCUGCUGCCUUCCCCGCAGCCUUCUGGGCCCUGAAAGAGCCGAAUACUUCCUGAGCCCGCCAGCCCCGGAGCGGUGCAGGACCCCCGGGGAGCAGGGCCUGCUGGAGGCAGUGGGAGGGGCCGGCGCUGAGGAGCUCUGGCGAGUCCUGCACGAGGAGCCGCAGCGCCGGCGGCAGGCGGCAGAGGCCAGGAUGGGGCGGGCAGUCGCCGAGCAGGUGCCCUGGCUGGGACGCGCUGCUCUCACGCCCAGGAUGCAGCGGGUGGCACGGUGGAGGCGGCAGCUGCAUGUGAUGCACCGGCUGGGGGAGCUGCACCAGGACGCAAACAGCCUGCUGCUGGCCAGGGAGCCGC